UUUCCUACGGGAGGCAGCAGUGAGGAAUAUUGGUCAAUGGCCGGAAGGCUGAACCAGCCAAGCCGCGUGAAGGACGAAGGUGCCAAGCAUUGUAAACUUCUUUUGUCAAGGGACAAAAUCAGGCUCGAGAGCCUGACCGAGGGUACUUGAAGAAAAAGCAUCGGCUAACUCCGUGCCAGCAGCCGCGGUAAUACGGAGGAUGCGAGCGUUAUCCGGAUUUAUUGGGUUUAAAGGGUGCGUAGGCGGACUGUUAAGUCAGCGGUAAAAGCCCGGGGCUCAACCCCGGGAGUGCAUUUGAAACUGUC
This 305-nucleotide ribosomal RNA is filed under the name uncultured bacterium. Its description in RNAcentral is "bacterial SSU rRNA". It matches the Rfam family "Bacterial small subunit ribosomal RNA", at positions 335 to 637 of the family's 1533-position model. The record is from RNAcentral.